RNAcentral lists this unclassified non-coding RNA (289 nucleotides) under uncultured fungus. Its description in RNAcentral is "partial contains 5.8S rRNA, ITS2 and 28S rRNA". It matches the Rfam family "Eukaryotic large subunit ribosomal RNA", at positions 668 to 961 of the family's 3401-position model. Lineage: Eukaryota; Fungi. The record is from RNAcentral.
AAGGAGUCUAACAUGCUUGCGAGUAUUUGGGUGUCAAACCCGGAUGCGUAAUGAAAGUGAAUGGAGGUGGGAAGCGCAAGCUGCACCAUCGACCGAUCUGGAUUUUCUAAGAUGGAUUUGAGUAAGAGCACGUAUGUUGGGACCCGAAAGAUGGUGAACUAUGCCUGAAUAGGGCGAAGCCAGAGGAAACUCUGGUGGAGGCUCGUAGCGGUCCUGACGUGCAAAUCGAUCGUCAAAUUUGGGUAUAGGGGCGAAAGACUAAUCGAACCAUCUAGUAGCUGGUUCCUGC